AAUAAUUUAUCUCUACUCACAUUCUCUUUGUCGUCUCUUGUCGUCUCGGAUACGCUCGAGGCCACCGAUAUGCGAAACCGCCGACGUUACGGUUCUAAGGCGAUUAAGUAAUUGCUGUUAAUUAUGGUAUUCAAUCCAAGCAUCCUACUACUUGCUCUUCAAUUCAUAUACUACAGGCGUGUUCUUUUGGUAGACGCCGAAUGCUGCGGCUGUGUCCAAAAAAAUAAAGCACGGAGGCACAAAAAAUUAAAAACGGUGACGCCAUUAAUCUCAGCGUCUCUUACGGAGACACAAAAAGUGAAGCGCCGGUGACGCUAUUAAUUCCUGCGUCUCUUUCACCCAUCAUUGAUUGCCGCUGCGUCUGGAAAAUAAAUUUUGGAUUGCUGUCGUGGGUUUGGUGUUGAUGUCAUCAUGACUUCAUAGUCUUGCAGAAAUGGUAAUGAGCGGCGCAACGAAGCACUAGAAAAGCUGGAGAAGAAGUAUGAUCUGGUCGUUAACAUUCAAGGAGAUGAACCACUCAUUGAGCCUGAGAUUAUUGACGGUGUUGUCAAAGCACUUCAGGUAGCACCUGAUGCAGUGUUUAGCACAGCGGCGACAUCAUUAAAACCAGAAGACCGAGAUGAUCCUAACCAAGUCUAAUGUGUGGUGGACAACUGUGCCUACACUAUCUAUUUCUCCAGGGGUUUGAUUCCUUAUAACAAGGUUUGGGUUCAACGUGCUCACCGUCAGACCCGCAACGGCAUGAGAAAUAUGUUUAAGAUCGAGAUAGGAAAGUAGCUUUCCUCUCAGUCUCAGCUACAACAUCUAACUGGAUGGAGCUUAUUGUUUCACAUUUUCUCUAUCUCAUGCCAUUCGCGAAGGAUGGUAGCACAUGCGAUGGAGUUAUGGACAGCUGUAAGCGAUGAAGGAGAAGUUCUUGCACAUGAGGAGCAGCAAAAUUUGGGUGGAAUCAACAUGGAAGAUCUCCAUAGACUUGACUAUGCUCAAGUCUUUCUUCUAAUGCUCUGACUCUGAAGAUCUCAGGAAUGAUAACUAGAAACAUGGGGGAAAGGGUCGGGGAGUUUUUGGCUUCAGCAAGUCUGGGAUUAGUGCUGCUCAAAGUGAUUGCUCAACAGCUUCUUCAUUCUGUUGGAAAGCCAUUGUCUCAUAAAAUUCUCAUGGUCUAUAUAUAUUCUCCAAGCCAUAUUUGAAACAUAUUUCAUUAUGUACAUCCCUUUUCAUACUUUGACAUUGUCUAAUGGAAAGGCCUGGUGGAGCUGUUGGGUUCGGAAUCACAGAUAUCUGGUGGUCUUGAUUUUCUACAUAAAUAUUAAUCAUUUAUAUCUUCUGUUUUCUUUGCUAA
Long non-coding RNA from Brassica napus (rape), 1342 nucleotides. RefSeq lists it as uncharacterized. Lineage: Eukaryota; Viridiplantae; Streptophyta; Magnoliopsida; Brassicales; Brassicaceae. The record is from RefSeq and is a predicted model, not a curated record. The transcript has 7 exons.